RNAcentral lists this ribosomal RNA (492 nucleotides) under uncultured bacterium. RNAcentral's name for it is "partial 16S ribosomal RNA". It matches the Rfam family "Bacterial small subunit ribosomal RNA", at positions 29 to 507 of the family's 1533-position model. The record is from RNAcentral.
AGUGAACGCUGGUGGUAGGCCUAACACAUGCAAGUCGAACGGCAGCACAGUAAGAGCUUGCUCUUACGGGUGGCGAGUGGCGGACGGGUGAGGAAUACAUCGGAAUCUACUUUUUCGUGGGGGAUAACGUAGGGAAACUUACGCUAAUACCGCAUACGACCUACGGGUGAAAGCAGGGGAUCUUCGGACCUUGCGCGAUUGAAUGAGCCGAUGUCGGAUUAGCUAGUUGGCGGGGUAAAGGCCCACCAAGGCGACGAUCCGUAGCUGGUCUGAGAGGAUGAUCAGCCACACUGGAACUGAGACACGGACCAGACUCCUACGGGAGGCAGCAGUGGGGAAUAUUGGACAAUGGGCGCAAGCCUGAUCCAGCCAUACCGCGUGGGUGAAGAAGGCCUUCGGGUUGUAAAGCCCUUUUGUUGGGAAAGAAAAGCAGCAGGCUAAUACCCCGCUGUUCUGACGGUACCCAAAGAAUAAGCACCGGCUAACUUCGUG